GGUGGCUCAGUGGUAGAGCGCUUGCCUUGCAUGCUUGAGGCCCUGGAUUCGAUUCCCAAGCACCA
This 65-nucleotide transfer RNA is filed under the name Dipodomys ordii (Ord's kangaroo rat). It matches the Rfam family "tRNA". From Rfam's summary of the family: Transfer RNA (tRNA) molecules are approximately 80 nucleotides in length. Their secondary structure includes four short double-helical elements and three loops (D, anti-codon, and T loops). The record is from Rfam by way of RNAcentral. Lineage: Eukaryota; Metazoa; Chordata; Mammalia; Rodentia; Heteromyidae.